This 833-nucleotide ribosomal RNA is filed under the name uncultured bacterium. RNAcentral describes it as "bacterial SSU rRNA". It matches the Rfam family "Bacterial small subunit ribosomal RNA", at positions 28 to 859 of the family's 1533-position model. The record is from RNAcentral.
AAUGAACGCUGGCGGCGUGCCUAACACAUGCAAGUCGAACGAGAAAAUAUCUUCGGAUAUAAGUAAAGUGGCGAACGGGUGAGUAACACGUGAGAAUCUGCCUUUUAGUGAAGAAUACUCUCGAGAAAUCGAGGUUAAUACUGCAUACGCCCUGCGGGGGAAAGACGGCCUCUUUGCUGUCGCUGAAAGAUGAGCUUGCGGACUAUUAGUUUGUUGGUAGGGUAAAGGCCUACCAAGACUGUGAUGGAUAGCCGACCUGAGAGGGUGACCGGCCACACUGGAACUGACACACGGUCCAGACUCCUACGGGAGGCAGCAGUGGGGAAUAUUGCACAAUGAGCGAAAGCUUGAUGCAGCGACGCCGCGUGGAGGAUGAAGGUUUUCGGAUUGUAAACUCCCGUUAAGUGGGAAGAAAGACUCGUAGGUAAUAUAUGCGAGGGAUGACGGUACCACUAGAGAAAGCUCCGGCUAACUUCGUGCCAGCAGCCGCGGUAAUACGAAGGGAGCUAGCGUUAUUCGGAAUUACUGGGCGUAAAGAGCGUGUAGGCGGUUAAUUAAGUUAGUUGUUAAAUUCCUCGGCUUAACCGAGGGUCAGCGAUUAAUACUGAUUGACUAGAGGGCGAGAGAGAAAAGUGGAAUUCUCGGAGUAGCGGUAAAAUGCAUAGAUCUCGAGAGGAACACCGGUUGCGAAGGCGGCUUUUUGGCUCGUUUCUGACGCUAAAGCGCGAAAGCGUGGGGAGCAAACAGGAUUAGAUACCCUGGUAGUCCACGCCGUAAACGAUGAUCACUAGAUGUGGGUUUUGUUUUGCAAGAUCCGUGUCGAAGCUAACGCG